UUUUUGUUUGGAGAGUUUGAUCCUGGCUCAGGACGAACGCUGGCGGCGUGCUUAACACAUGCAAGUCGAACGGAAAGGUCUCUUCGGAGACACUCGAGUGGCGAACGGGUGAGUAACACGUGGGCAAUCUGCCCUGCACACCGGGAUAAGCCUGGGAAACUGGGUCUAAUACCGGAUAGGACCACUUGGCGCAUGCCUUGUGGUGGAAAGCUUUUGCGGUGUGGGAUGGGCCCGCGGCCUAUCAGCUUGUUGGUGGGGUGACGGCCUACCAAGGCGACGACGGGUAGCCGGCCUGAGAGGGUGUCCGGCCACACUGGGACUGAGAUACGGCCCAGACUCCUACGGGAGGCAGCAGUGGGGAAUAUUGCACAAUGGGCGCAAGCCUGAUGCAGCGACGCCGCGUGGGGGAUGACGGCCUUCGGGUUGUAAACCUCUUUCACCAUCGACGAAGGUCCGGGUUCUCUCGGAUUGACGGUAGGUGGAGAAGAAGCACCGGCCAACUACGUGCCAGCAGCCGCGGUAAUACGUAGGGUGCGAGCGUUGUCCGGAAUUACUGGGCGUAAAGAGCUCGUAGGUGGUUUGUCGCGUUGUUCGUGAAAUCUCACGGCUUAACUGUGAGCGUGCGGGCGAUACGGGCAGACUAGAGUACUGCAGGGGAGACUGGAAUUCCUGGUGUAGCGGUGGAAUGCGCAGAUAUCAGGAGGAACACCGGUGGCGAAGGCGGGUCUCUGGGCAGUAACUGACGCUGAGGAGCGAAAGCGUGGGGAGCGAACAGGAUUAGAUACCCUGGUAGUCCACGCCGUAAACGGUGGGUACUAGGUGUGGGUUUCCUUCCUUGGGAUCCGUGCCGUAGCUAACGCAUUAAGUACCCCGCCUGGGGAGUACGGCCGCAAGGCUAAAACUCAAAGGAAUUGACGGGGGCCCGCACAAGCGGCGGAGCAUGUGGAUUAAUUCGAUGCAACGCGAAGAACCUUACCUGGGUUUGACAUGCACAGGACGCGUCUAGAGAUAGGCGUUCCCUUGUGGCCUGUGUGCAGGUGGUGCAUGGCUGUCGUCAGCUCGUGUCGUGAGAUGUUGGGUUAAGUCCCGCAACGAGCGCAACCCUUGUCUCAUGUUGCCAGCGGGUAAUGCCGGGGACUCGUGAGAGACUGCCGGGGUCAACUCGGAGGAAGGUGGGGAUGACGUCAAGUCAUCAUGCCCCUUAUGUCCAGGGCUUCACACAUGCUACAAUGGCCGGUACAAAGGGCUGCGAUGCCGCGAGGUUAAGCGAAUCCUUUUAAAGCCGGUCUCAGUUCGGAUCGGGGUCUGCAACUCGACCCCGUGAAGUCGGAGUCGCUAGUAAUCGCAGAUCAGCAACGCUGCGGUGAAUACGUUCCCGGGCCUUGUACACACCGCCCGUCACGUCAUGAAAGUCGGUAACACCCGAAGCCAGUGGCCUAACCCUCGGGAGGGAGCUGUCGAAGGUGGGAUCGGCGAUUGGGACGAAGUCGUAACAAGGUAGCCGUACCGGAAGGUGCGGCUGGAUCACCUCCUUUCUAAGGAG
Molecule: ribosomal RNA, 1543 nt
Filed under: Mycobacterium kansasii
Lineage: Bacteria; Bacillati; Actinomycetota; Actinomycetes; Mycobacteriales; Mycobacteriaceae
Also listed under: 2 other names
Description: bacterial SSU rRNA
Rfam family: Bacterial small subunit ribosomal RNA
Source: RNAcentral